RNAcentral lists this transfer RNA (58 nucleotides) under Brevundimonas sp. RNAcentral's name for it is "tRNA-Asp". It matches the Rfam family "tRNA", at positions 8 to 62 of the family's 71-position model. From Rfam's summary of the family: Transfer RNA (tRNA) molecules are approximately 80 nucleotides in length. Their secondary structure includes four short double-helical elements and three loops (D, anti-codon, and T loops). Further hydrogen bonds mediate the characteristic L-shaped molecular structure. tRNAs have two regions of fundamental functional importance: the anti-codon, which is responsible for specific mRNA codon recognition, and the 3' end, to which the tRNAs corresponding amino acid is attached (by aminoacyl-tRNA synthetases). tRNAs cope with the degeneracy of the genetic code in two manners: having more than one tRNA (with a specific anti-codon) for a particular amino acid; and 'wobble' base-pairing, i.e. permitting non-standard base-pairing at the 3rd anti-codon position. The record is from RNAcentral. Lineage: Bacteria; Pseudomonadati; Pseudomonadota; Alphaproteobacteria; Caulobacterales; Caulobacteraceae.
UAGCUCAGUUGGUUAGAGUGCCGGCCUGUCACGCCGGAGGUCGCGGGUUCGAGCCCCG